GCGAGAGAUGUGGAACGUUUUUUUUUAUGUAUUUGUGUUUUUGCUUAUUUAGUAAAUUUUUUAAUUUGAAGGUAUGUUUUGUUUAACAAUAAUCCGGAGGAGCUCCGACACCAGUAAAUUUAAUGGUUAUUUUUGGAUGCCAGUUAUUUAUUCAAUAACGGGUUCAAAUUGGUUAUAUAAGUGUUUCCGUUGGCUGUGGUAGGACGAU
Molecule: long non-coding RNA, 208 nt
Filed under: Gossypium raimondii (Peruvian cotton)
Lineage: Eukaryota; Viridiplantae; Streptophyta; Magnoliopsida; Malvales; Malvaceae
Description: long non-coding RNA (GRAI_LNC004703)
Source: RNAcentral